UUUUUUUUUUUUUUGUCUUUUUAGGGCUGCACCCACAGCAUAUGGAGGUUUCCAGGCUAGGGAUCCAAUUGGAGCUGUAGCCGCUGGCCACAACAAAGCCACAGCAGCUUGGGAUCCAAGCCACGUCUGCAACCUACACCAUGGCUCACGGCAAUGCCAGAUCCUUAACUCACUGAGAGAGGCCAGGGAUCGAACCCGUGUCCUCAUGGAUGCUAGUCAGGUUCAUUAACUGCCGAGCCAUGACAGGAACUCCUGAAAUAAUUUCUGGACCACUCAGAACCAUUAUUGUGAGCCAGCAGGAGAGCUAUGUAGCAUCAUAUAGUUACCUAAAAGAGUUUUCAAGCUAUUUAAACUUUUCCUCCCAUAUACAUUCGAUUAUCUCAGAUAUAAACAUUUGGCAUGAAUACUGAAAGGAAGUAAAAUAGGUAAUGACCAUCUAUCUUGUGCCUGAACCUUUCUAUACUUAUGACUGAGUGUCUAUACAUUGCUUUGCAUGAAGGCCUGAGGGUAACUCCUCCUUUGACCUCCAAUACCGUGCUUAAUUUCAGUGACAUAUUUUUCCUACUGCUGACAGUCUUUUUGUUUUAUGAAUCAUUAACCCCAAGACAGCCAGAAGCCUGAAAUAAAGUGAAUGUGUAGGAGGGACCCUCUUGGGUAACAGUUGCUUCACAUUAAUUAUGCCAGUAAUUCUGGUCUUUCGGUGGAAAAACUUCAAUAGUCGAUGACCUACAAGUAUUAGAGCUAAUACUCCCACCCCUACCCUAAUCAUAGAGCAGGAAAACCUAAGUAGCCUAUGUACUGGACUGAAUAUCUUUUUGGACUUACAGAUCCACGGGCUUAGAACAUUUUCUAAAAAUUGCUUGGCCCCCAAAAUGCAUAGUUAGAUCCUUGAAUGUACUAUGACCCCCAUAUAAUAAAGGCUCAAAAUUCCCUGUCUAUAACCUUAUACAAAAGACCUUGGAGCCUUUCCAAAAUACCCAUCACAUCCAAAAUAAGACCUGCACUAGAUUUAGGCCAAAGUAAGCACCAUAUCUAACAUGUUAUCAGCAGCUAUAACCAUAAGGUUUAUUUGCCCUAUUUGAUAAUUUUCUGAUUGUUGAACCUGUGAUAAGUAUUUUAAUGCAUGUAUUUUCUUCCUACUUGAAGUUCCUGUUCUUUCUCAAAGAAAAGUGAAAACUAAAGCUAUUUCUGCACUUACAUUGCUGUUACAGAGUCUUCAUAUAUGCAAAUAAACCCUCAUUUGUACAUUUUGUUGGUGGUUUCUCUCACUCAUACUCUCUCUUUCUCUCUUAAUUAUUGGAAAUUUGAAAAUGAAUCAGCAACAAUGACUGCUGCACUUAAGGAAAUGUAUGAUCUGGUUUAUAAUUUAUGUAUUAGCUUCUGAAGGAAAUUUAGUACUUAGCUCCCAAUUUAUGAUGCAAGUAUGAGUAGCCACAUCUCUUAAUUUACAUCUGAUUCAACUUGCUCACUUUAUCCAAAUCUAAUGUCUAGAUUUAGUUCUCAUUCUACAUUCAUUUCACCAGCAGUUUAAUCCCUAAAUGUGGAGCUGCAGUAAAAUAUUUGUGUUUACCCAAAAUGCCUUCUUUCUAGUUUUGAAAUAAACCAUAGCCAGUGUCUUUGAUAUUCUUGAAACAUAUAACUGCUCCACCUGAUGGUAAAUAGCAUUAGACAAAGGAAUUAUUUUUCAGGGAACUAUGAUGGAGAGAAGGAAAGGGAGAAGAGGGCAGUCACACCAGAGAAGCAUUUUUUAAUCUGGCAAAUUAAUAAUCAACUAAAUGUUGUCAAACUUUUCUAAAGAUCAUUUUAUUCAUUUCUUAUCACCAUAUCAAAGCUGAACUUCACUGUCUGCCUUUCCAGAUUUGGCAUUUCCUUCCCAUUUAAUCAUAUCUUCCACUUUCCCCCAACACAAAGUAUCUGCCUCCUUGGGUUCCACACAAGCUCUUUACUCCCACCUCUUGAACUGUAUGAUUUGACCAUCUAGAAGGUGUGUGCAUGAUUGUAAAGAGUAAAAAGAACACUAGAGUAGGAGCUGAUAAGCCUGGGUUUUAUUCCUUUCUUGCUAAUAAGCUGGGUGACCUUAGCUAUGUUACUUAACCCCUCUAAACAUAUAGGACAAAUGUUAGCCUGGAAUGGUCUGAUUAUAUCACUUCUUAGAUCAUUCUCAAUACCUAAUUUACCAACCAAAGUAUCCUUUUAAUUCUAUAGUUCUUAUCAUCAUUUGAUGUAGUAUAUAUAUUUUUUUAACUUAUUUUCUCUUACACACCUCUAUCAGAAGGAAAGCUCUGUAUGGACAAAGUUUUUUCCCAUUUUGCCCACUGCUGUAUUCCCAGCAUUUAGAGAAGAUGCAUCAUAGCCACUAAGUAAGUGUUUUGUUGAAUGAGUUAUGCAUCAAAGAAUCACACAUAUUAUUCUUCCUUAAAUACACUCUGUAAAUCAAAUUUCCUCCAUUAGAUUCUGCUGACUAAGCCAAACCCAAAUCUUCCUUCCAUGCACUUCUAACUUCUAACACAAUUACUAUUAGGGUUAUACUGUUUGGCAAUUAAGAAUUCUUUGAAUAUUUCAGACAUAUCAGCACCAACCUUUUUUUUUCUUUAUAUGGCCACCACACCUGUGGCACAUGGAAGUUCCCAGGCUAUGGGGUUAAAUCGAAGCUGCAGCUGCCGACCUAUGCCAUAGCCACAGCAAUACUGGAUUCAAGCCACCUCUGUGACCUAUACCACAGCUUGCAGCAAUGUCAGCUCCUUAAUCCACUGAGCAAGGCCAGGGAUCAAACCCAUAUCCUGAAGGAGACUAUGUCGAGUCCUUAACCUGCUGAUCCACAAUGGGAACUCCAAAUCAGCACCAACUUUUUUUGUAGAGUGUAUACAUUUCUUAAGGCCAAGAACUAUGUCUAGUCUAUCAUAUAUUUGCUAGGUAUUUAAUUGACUGAAUUGAUGGAAAAUGUAAGCCCUGUGUUAGGAAACCAACUCAGGUUUUACUUAUCUGCACCUCUAUCUUCAAACCUCUACACCCAUUCUCUAGACAAGGUUCAUGAGGGUGAUAAAACCACCCAAGAUAUGUCUCUGAAAGCAGCAAAAGAGAAGUGCAAUCAAUAUUUCCUUCACCAAUCACUGUCCAUGAAAGCAUGUAAUAGUAUCUGCUGGUAAUGGAGAAACCAUAGGGGGCAGAGAGAAUUUGGGAGUAAGAAUCAGAAUAAAAAUAACUGGAAGGAUCUUUCAAAUAGGAGAAAGAGGAAGUAGAGGCCUUGAAUUUAAAUUCUACAGAUAGAAUAGAAUUGGAAUUUAUAGAGAUAGAAUAGAUUUUAGAGUUUAAAAAAAAAGCAUCUUAGACAUUGUCUCCUCGCUUACCUUUCAUUUGUCCGAAAUAUUGUGGAUUAGAGACGUGAAGUGACUUGCCUAAGUGCACACAGAUUAUUAGUGAAAGUGCAAUGAAACAUUGCUCAUCAGAAUCUAAUCUGGUAGAUGGAAUUUUCUCAUUACAAGUUUACAAGAAAUGCAUUUGAUUUGUAGCUAUGAUCAAAAUUCUCUCUAAAAUAUACCUACAAUGACAUACAAUAUACUGGGACAUUCUUACUUCUAAAUAUAGCCUGGUGAAAGUGAUUGAAUAUGCCUUUGAUAUUUUAGUGACUUAUUCCUGAGCAUCAACUAUAAUUAUAGCAUAUUAAAGAUCUGGGAGUUCCCAUUGUAGCUUAGCGGGUUACAAACCCAACUAGUAUCCAUGAGGAUUCAUGUUCAAUCCCUGGCCUCCCUCAGUGGGUUAAGGAUCCAGUGUUGCUAUGAGCUGUGGUGUAGGCUGGCAGCUACAGCUCCGAUUUGACCCUUAGCCUGGGAACUUCCAUAUGCUGCAGGUGUGACCAUAAAAAGAAAAAAGAAAAAAAAAUUAAAGAUCUGAAAAUUAUAAGAGCAAGAACUGAAUUUGCUAGGCUCUGACAAUAGAUUUUGGCAUAAUGGUUUUUAUAAUAAAUUGUCUUCUUUGGAUUUGCUUCUUUCUCCUAAAAGUUAAAUGCUAGAAAAAAACCCACUGAAAUAGAUGUAUUAAUUAGUUCAUUUCCAGUUCAUUAAUUCAUUUUAUAAUCACAGAACAGAAUUUCUAAAGUAUAAAUUAACUAUAUCAUUGCAGAAACUCUGAUCAUACUUUUAUGAAGAGGUGUUGGUGAGUUAGUGAAAUACAUCCAAAUUGACUAUGCUUUUAUUUCCAUUGCAAAACCAUACACAGAACAUUUGAUUUGGGAGGGAAUUUAAAGAGCACCUUGCCCUAUCCCCUCACUUACCCACGAGGGACCUAAAUCCAAAGAGGUUGAGUGAGAAGUUCAAAGCCGUACAGCCAGUUAGUAUCAUAAAAUCCCAGGGGUUACUUCAGGACUGUAACUAAAGGUAUCUCAGUCACUAGAAGAGGCAACUUCCUGCAGGCUAUCAGAAUCUUUCAGUUGCUGCAGGUCAAGGCCCACACAUACAGCUUCCUUGUGACUCUAUAGCCCUAUUUGUAAGACUGUACUUUUGGGUUUGUUUGUUUGUUUGUUUGUUUUUAGGGCCACAACCGGUGGAUAUGGGCAUAUGGAGGUUCCCAGGCUAGGGGUCGAAUCUGAGCUGUAGCCUCCGGCCUAAACCACAGCCACAGCAACGCCAGAUCCCAGCUGCGUCUGCAACCUACACCACAGCUCACAGCAACACCACAUCCUUAACCCACUGGGCAAGGCCAGAGAUAGAACCUGCCUCCUCAUGGAUGCUAGUCAGAUUCAUUUCCGCUGAGACACAAUGGGAACUCCUGAGAAUGUACUUCUUAAUUGCUGGGCAGUGUCUCUUUGACCCUAGAGAAAUCACCACGUGGUGCUCCUGAUGUCCUUCAAGUAAGUGUUCCAUCCUUUCUGUUAAGUGACCCACAGCAUGGAAGCCAUGCCUGAGAAAAGCUCAUUCUGUGCCCUAAUCAACUUUCCAAUGUGAUUCCUUUCUAGGGUACUAUGAUCAAUCCUGUCUGAAUUUCACUUUAAUUUGCUCAUUUUUUGAGAUUCAUAACUCACAGCACUCACUGCAAAAGACUGAGGGGACUACAGUUUCUGAAGGAUACCGAUGUUGCUACGCUAGUAAACUCUCAUGGGAGGCAUACAUUUUAAUAUUCCAGGUUAAAAUUUACCUUGUGGAAUGUACUGAUCAGUAAAAUAAUUUUGUUUUGCUUGUUUGUUUAAUUAACAUCACAAGCGCAGGAGACAAAUUAGUUGGGUUAGGGGUCAGAAGAGCUUCUAUAUCUAUUUCAGAGAACUAAUAGAGAUACUCCAAAAGCAAACACCUUAUAGCAUUUAGAAUGCACUAGAUACUCCUUCAAGAGUUUUACACUGUUGACUCAUUUACUCUUCAGAAAAACCCUAAUAGUUAGGUGUUAAUAUUACCCCAUCGCAUAAAUGAGAAACUCAGCACAAACACAGUAGGCAACUUGCCCAUUGUUGCACAGCUGGUAAGUGGCAAGGCCAGGAUAAUGAAUCCAGCAGUUCAUAUUUUAUCCACUACUCUACCUAACACAGGUCAUUUGAGAAGAGAAAUUAAACAACUUUUUGACCUCCAUUUUCUAACAUUUUGGGUUAAAGUAUUUGGGGAUCUGAGACAAUUACUUGGACAAUUGACCCAAUGGCUAAAGAUUCAACAAUGCAACCAUCUGACAAUUUUUUAAAUCAUAAUUCAGUUUACACUUGCAGAGUUUUACAAAAUGGAGUCAAAUGUAUGAGAAAAUUUCUAUACUACUUGACCUUGAUAAAUAAAAUAUGUCACUAGCUACCUACUAUGUGCCAGAUCUUGGAGCAAUGACCAUGAAUUAGUCAUGGCCCACCUCAACAUGCUGUCUUAUUGAUGAAGAUAAUAUUUGAAAAUAGAAAAAAUGCAACAUCACAGCCAAAGCAUGGCACAUAUCAAAUUAGGAGACUGACAGCAAAUGUAAAAAAAAAAAUCCUUCUAGGAGUUCCCAUUGUGGCUCAGUGGAUUAAGGAUUCGGCAUUUCUGUGAGCUGUGGUAUAGGGCACAAAUAUGGCGCAGAUCCUGCAUUGUUGCGGUUGUGGCAUAGGCCACAGGAUUUGACCCCUAGGAUGGGAACUUCUAAAAAAGAAGCAUAGAAGCAGCUCUGAAAAAAAAAAAUCCUUCUAGAAAUAAUAUGAGUUUUCAGCAUUCUAAACACUAAAAAAAAUACAAAAACCUCUUGGAAUAAUUCAGUUAGAAAAUUAUGAAAAGUUUCGCAUUUUCUAUUAUAACUGUGGUGCUAUUACCUUUCAAAUCUUAGUAUAAUCAAAUAAACAUUCUGCUAAUUAUACACUCUAAUUAAAAUACUUUGAUUAGGAUUUAAAAGGAUUUUGAUUCCAAAGGCCUUUACAAAUUCAUGGAAAUGCUGAGAAGGUCACCGUACUUCCCAUGGGAAGUAGAUAGAUAAAUAUAUCCAGUUUUGUUUAAAUUUCAAAGAACAGAGUAACACUAGCUAACACUUGGGGCACAUUUCGUUGAUUAUUCAAUGUAUCUCAGGAAUCUAUUUGACCCAUCACUGUUAAUUUCCUUCAAUUUAACAAACAUUUAAAUUUAUUAAAUAGCUUCUGAUCCUUAAAAAGAAUAAUAAUAAAUAAAUAAAAGGAUUUUUGAAUUGGAUAGCAGGUGAAUAUUUUCUUUGUUACUGAAUAGCAUCUUCUCUUAAAGCUUCAAUAUGUUUAAUGAUUAUAGUUUCCAUGUCCGCUUUUCUUUAAAAAAUAAUAAAGUAACAUAAGUCCCUUGACUGUAAUAGUAACAAGUUUUCAAAAUAAAACCAAAACAUCAGAAAUACCAGCAUUCUCUUUUUUUUUUUUUUUUUUUUUUUUUUUUUUUUUUUGGCCACACUCGUGGCUUAUAGAAGUUCCUGGGACAGGGAUCCAAUCCAAGCCUCAGCAGCAACCUACACCACAGCUGCAGCAAUACCUGAUCCUUACCCACUGUGCUGGGCUAGGGAUCAAACCCACACCUCUGCAGCAAUCCAAGCCACUUCAGUCAGAUCCUUAACCCAUUGUGCCACAGCAGGAACUCCAACACCAGCAUUCUCAACAAUUUCCUUCCCCCGUUAAUGUACAAUUUCUUGAUAUCCUCAUGCAUUAAAUGUGUAGACUAACUUUGUUUACAUCUCAAGUCGAUUUUCAGUUUAAAUUGUUUUAUUUUGUACAAUGGAUUAUUGAUUUUCUGUUGUUCUUCAGUAAAGUAUAAUUAGCGCAGUUAGUAGUCAUUUUCAUUCCCAAAUCAUUGUCACUGAAAUCUGUAAAAAUAGCAAAAAUCUCUAGGAGAAUUCAUCCGUUGUUAUGGACUGAAGGGAAAUACCCAGUCUGUGAUAUUUUGUUAUGGCAGCCCUAGAAAAUUCAUACACCUAUGGAGAGGCUUACUUUCCUCUCCCACAAAGCCAACCUCUUAAAGUCAGUGUUUCAAGAAUUCUGAUUUGAACGUGUUACCUCAUCUUCUACUUUCCUCUCCAUGUCAUUUUUUUCCUCCUCUUUUCUACUCAAUCAAGCCUAAUUUUAAAAUAUAAGUUAUAGCCCUGGUAUGAGGGUCAUUUCUGAAACACAUGCAAAAAUUCUGACAACUUUAUUUUCAGCAAGGACAAUAUACAAGGUGAGAGUGUCUAUCUAAAAUUAAAAACAUUUGAGGAGUUCCCGUCGUGGCUCAGUGGUUAACGAAUCCGACUAGGAACCAUGAGGUUGUGGGUUUGAUCCCUAGCUUGCUCAGUGGGUUGAAGAUCUGGCGUUGCCAUGAGCUGUGGUGUAGGUCGCAGAUGUGGCUCAGAUCCCAAGUUGCUGUGGCUAUGGAGUAGGCCAGCAGCUACAGCUCUGAUUAGACCCCUAGCCUGGGAACCUCCAUAUGCCAGGGGGAGCAGCCCAAGAAAUAGCAAAAAAAAAAAAAAAAAAUUAAGUUCUGGAGUUCCCGCUGUGGCUCAGUGGUUAACAAACCCAACUAGUAUCCCUGAGGACAUGGGUUCAAUCCCUGGCCUUGCUCGUGGGUUAAGGAUCCGGUGUUGCCAUGAGCUAUGGAGUAAGUCACAGACGCAGCUCUGAUCCUGUGUUGCUGUGGCUCUGGCGUAAGCCAGCAGCUGCAGUUCCAAUUAAACCCCUAGCCUAGGAACCUCCAUGUGC
RNAcentral lists this long non-coding RNA (8116 nucleotides) under Sus scrofa (pig). Its description in RNAcentral is "lncRNA (ENSSSCG00045005324.1)". Lineage: Eukaryota; Metazoa; Chordata; Mammalia; Artiodactyla; Suidae. The record is from RNAcentral.